Molecule: unclassified non-coding RNA, 306 nt
Filed under: Hevea brasiliensis (rubber tree)
Lineage: Eukaryota; Viridiplantae; Streptophyta; Magnoliopsida; Malpighiales; Euphorbiaceae
Source: RNAcentral
AGUAGCAAAUCCUUGACCUGGAGGCCACUGGGGAAUUGGAGCAGGCAAAGAGAAAGGUUGAGGCUCAGGUGAGUAGAAAUCAAUAACUUGGCUCCAGUAAAAACAAUCACACCCAAACAUCCUUACAAGUCUCUAACUAAAAAGAAUCAAAGAGCCACCAAAACCAAAAAAUUCUUUUUCCAAAUGCCUGUUGCAAUUUCAAAGAAAACCCAGAGAGAGAGAGAGAGAGAGAGAGAGAGUAAAGAAGGCUUAUUUAUUUCCCUUUACCACCCUCUCUCAAUGAAUCUGCAUUUAUUUAUAAACCAG